CACGUAGAUGGCUUUGUAAGUCGGAUGUGAAAUCCCCGGGCUCAACCUGGGAACUGCAUUCGAAACUGCAUUGCUCGAAUGUGGAAGAGGGAAGCGGAAUUCCAGGUGUAGCGGUGAAAUGCGUAGAUAUCUGGAGGAACAUCAGUGGCGAAGGCGGCUUCCUGGUCCAACAUUGACAUUCAGGUGCGAAAGCGUGGGGAGCAAACAGGAUUAGAUACCCUGGUAGUCCACGCCAUAAACGAUGAGAACUAGAUGUCGGGAGGGUUAGCCUUCCGGUGUCGCAGCUAACGCGUUAAGUUCUCCGCCUGGGAGUACGGCGCAAGGUUGAA
This 329-nucleotide ribosomal RNA is filed under the name uncultured bacterium. RNAcentral's name for it is "bacterial SSU rRNA". It matches the Rfam family "Bacterial small subunit ribosomal RNA", at positions 568 to 898 of the family's 1533-position model. The record is from RNAcentral.